CUUAAACACUCUAAAUCUGAAGCUAAGAGAGAAUGGAGAUAGCUUGAGAGAGGGAAACGAAAUUGAAGAGAAAGAAGAAGGAUAGCUCAAAUCUUGGUCAUCCUUGGUUUGCAUGUGAGAGAUUUUGGCAAUUCUUGAAGAAAUAGUACCAAAUAAGCCUUGAUCAUCAUCUUUGCCACUCUUCCAGACUCAAUUCAGAAUCUACUCAAGCAAAGGUGUUUGCACUUAAAAUAUGUAAUUCAGCUUGAUGCAUGUUGUUAAGAAACUGAAUGGUCUCACUGGAAGAACAUGUGGCAGUGCGUAAUGUACUAUUUUGUUAUUCACUAAAUUCAGUUAGCAGAAUUUGGUUUUGUGAGAUUGUGUUCAAUGGACAUUUAUCUGCAACAUAUACUCGUUGCAAAAAAUAAGUAAUGUUAUAUUGUUUUCUAAUUCAAUAAUGUGAUAAUUGAUACUUCGUCUAUAUUUAUCUCAAUAACUUUAUAGUGUAUUCCCGUUUCGCUAAGAAUUGCAACUGUAGUUGAAAUGAAGGUGCGAAAUUGUUCCAUGAUGUAUUAUAUGGUCUUUUUGAAUUUUCAUAAGAACAUAUACUGGUAUAAAGUUGUACAUUUGAAUCGCGUGAAGCUUCAAUUAUUCAACAUAUACUGGUGUUUUUGUUUGAAGAGAUUGUUUGAAACAUAGAGGUAAAUCAUUUGUGUUUCGAUUGCUUGGAGCGUAAGUUUAAGCAUUUCUAUUACAACAACUAAGAGUUCAGAGUCCAAGUGAAACUUGAAGUGCAAGUUUUCUCUAAUUCAGCCAAGGGCUCGGAAUAAUUAAUAAAUAUAUGAUUCUGAUAAUAAUACUCGGUUUGCUUCUCUAUUUCCAUUUCUAACUUCAGUUUCUCCAACAUUUUUUCUUCAAAAGCAAUGAAGAAAGUCAUGUCUAACAUACUAUCAUAGCAAACGGAUCAGUUUGCUUCUAUAUAUUCAAACCCGUGAUACAAUAAUAACAAUAACAUUUACAAAUCUAAUAUCAAAAAUAAAUUAAAAAAAAAAAAAAAA
Long non-coding RNA from Vicia villosa (hairy vetch), 1037 nucleotides. RefSeq lists it as uncharacterized. The transcript is spliced from 2 exons. Lineage: Eukaryota; Viridiplantae; Streptophyta; Magnoliopsida; Fabales; Fabaceae. The record is from RefSeq and is a predicted model, not a curated record.